AAUGUCAGCAGCAGUGUAUUUCACUGGUGGAUCAUUUAUUCAAAUGCAUAAGGUAUUUUAGGAUUAUUAUGUGCACAUUUUUUUUUUUUGUGGUGAUAUGCGUGCUGAUUAUCCAGGUGAUUUUUUUAAAUAAUAUGCAUUCUAUGUUGGCAAUACUUUGUCAUCAUACUAAUGUAAAUCUACAUAUUUUUGGUUUGGCAGAGUAUUGUAUUAACUUACAAAUGUUUUCUAUAUCUAGGACAUUCUGCCAAAUAUGGCAGCUAUACUUUAUUGCAUCUUGACAGCAAUACAAUUCUGGACAUUCAACUAAUACAGAGCAAUGAAGUUGGAGGCAGUGCACACAUGGAGAAGGAAGGACUCAGAAGAGGUCUGGAUCAUCUAGAGUCCAACCAGUUACAAGUAGAUUACAUUGUGACUGAUCGCCACACCCAGGUGCAGAAAUAUCUGCGGGAGAGAGAGAUCCAACAGUACUAUGAUGUUUGGCACCUCGAGAAGGGGCUAUCUAAAAUAUUAGACAAAUUGUCAAGAAACAAAGACUGCCAAGUGCUGCGAAACUGGUUGGUGGGUAUAAAAAAUCACAUCUACUGGUCAGCCAUGUCUUCCACAGAAGGACCAGAGAAAGUUGCUAAGUGGAAGAGUUUGUAAUCACAUUCAGAAUGUCCACAUUCAUGAAGAUCCAGUAUUCCCCAAGUGCGCUCAUGCAGACAGAGUGACCAGAGACCCUAGUAAAUGGUUCAAACCAGGUACCAUGGUCCUGUAUAAAGUGGAGAAGCUGCUCAUGAACAAGAGAGUUAUCCGCGAUGUGGAGAAGCUGAGCCACCAACAUCAAACUUCAGCUCUUGAGGCAUUCCACAGUGUCAUUCUGAGAUUCGCCCCCAAGAAUGUUGUUUUUCCUUUUAUUGGAAUGCUGUGCAGGCUGUAUCUUGCCUAGAAUGCAUUUUAACGAGAAUGCUGAUCGUGAACAGGCAAUGAACUCGGAAGGCGAAGCUGUCUAUCGAAUAAUGUAUCCAAAAUCUAAGAAGGGGCAACCAAUUGUGAAGUCAGUGGAGACAGAGCCUACUUUUGGAUACGUCAAAGAUCUGAUGAGACUGGUGUUUGUAGAGGUGUUUGAAGACCCUGCCUAUUAUGUUGAGGAACUACAAAAAGUACCCAUUCCAGAUUCCCUAUCAGAACAGUUUGACAGGCCGACACAGGAGGAUCUCACUGCUAGACACGAGUCUAGGUUCAAUCCAGCGGUGGCCGGUAGCCAACAUAGUUCCCCCCAGCCUCAGGAAACUCUUGCCGAAUCCGGAGGACAACACACGAUGGAGUGACCACGCGCACAUGUCUGCCAAAAUAUCCCAGCACCAGCUGUCAAAACUACGAUAGGCAAGAUACCUGAAACGUCUGGCAGAGUGGUGGGAUUGUUACAUAGUCAGUAAUGUAGCAUUUUGUAUUAUGUUCAACAAAUACUUCUUGUACAUUUGUAUGCCAUAUUUUUAUAUGUCCCUGCAAAUAAUUUUUUCCAAUUAUUGAUAUUUAAAUUUAUUUUAUUACAAUGCGCACCUUGCUAGAUAAAUAAACACAAUUUACAAAGUUUAUUGUUUUUUUAUCUGUAUUAUUGCAUAAUGAUAAAAUCUGAGAUCUUUUUUCAUAAUUACUCACUCCUCCUCUCUUCUCCUUCUAAGUGGGCCAUAGUCAGCUCUGUAAAUGUUAUUUAUGUUCUGAAGUGUAUAGACAUUUAGGCA
Carassius gibelio (silver crucian carp) is the source of this 1727-nucleotide long non-coding RNA. RefSeq lists it as uncharacterized. The transcript is spliced from 6 exons. Lineage: Eukaryota; Metazoa; Chordata; Actinopteri; Cypriniformes; Cyprinidae. The record is from RefSeq and is a predicted model, not a curated record.